RNAcentral lists this ribosomal RNA (502 nucleotides) under Talaromyces marneffei. RNAcentral describes it as "eukaryotic LSU rRNA". The stretch from base 145 to 298 matches the Rfam family "5.8S ribosomal RNA". The record is from RNAcentral. Lineage: Eukaryota; Fungi; Ascomycota; Eurotiomycetes; Eurotiales; Trichocomaceae.
GUGUCUCUCUCUACCUGUUGCUUUGGCGGGCCCACCGGGGCCACCCGGUCGCCGGGGGACGUCCGUCUCCGGGCCCGCGCCCGCCGAAGCGCCCUGUGAACCCUGAUGAAGAUGGGCUGUCUGAGUCGCAUGAAAAAUUGUCAAAACUUUCAACAAUGGAUCUCUUGGUUCCGGCAUCGAUGAAGAACGCAGCGAAAUGCGAUAAGUAAUGUGAAUUGCAGAAUUCCGUGAAUCAUCGAAUCUUUGAACGCACAUUGCGCCCCCUGGCAUUCCGGGGGGCAUGCCUGUCCGAGCGUCAUUUCUGCCCUCAAGCGCGGCUUGUGUGUUGGGCGUGGUCCCCCCGGGGACCUGCCCGAAAGGCAGCGGCGACGUCCGUCCGGUCCUCGAGCGUAUGGGGCUCUGUCACUCGCUCGGGACGGAUCGGCGGAGGUUGGUCACCACCACAGUUUUACCACGGUUGACCUCGGAUCAGGUAGGAGUUACCCCGCUGAACUUAAGCAUA